This 490-nucleotide ribosomal RNA is filed under the name uncultured bacterium. Its description in RNAcentral is "partial 16S ribosomal RNA". It matches the Rfam family "Bacterial small subunit ribosomal RNA", at positions 28 to 507 of the family's 1533-position model. The record is from RNAcentral.
GAUGAACGCUAGCUACAGGCUUAACACAUGCAAGUCGCGGGGCAGCAUGGGGGUUGCUUGCAACCCCUGAUGGCGACCGGCGCACGGGUGAGUAACGCGUAUCCAACCUGCCCUUCACCACGGGAUAACCCGGCGAAAGUCGGACUAAUACCGUAUGUUGUCCAUUGACGGCCUCCGAUUUGGACGAAAGGCUUGGCGGUGGAAGGAUGGGGAUGCGUCCGAUUAGCUUGACGGCGGGGUAACGGCCCACCGUGGCUACGAUCGGUGGGGUUCUGAGAGGAAGGUCCCCCACACUGGAACUGAGACACGGGCCAGACUCCUACGGGAGGCAGCAGUGAGGAAGAGUGGUCAAUGGGCGUAAGCCUGAACCAGCCAAGUAGCGUGCAGGAGGACGGCCCUAUGGGUGGUAAACUGCUUUUAUGCGGGGAUAAAGUGGCCCACGUGUGGGCUUUUGCAGGUACCGCAUGAAUAAGGACCGGCUAAUUCCGUG